This 1185-nucleotide unclassified non-coding RNA is filed under the name Leishmania donovani. RNAcentral's name for it is "gene:unknown". The record is from RNAcentral. Lineage: Eukaryota; Euglenozoa; Kinetoplastea; Trypanosomatida; Trypanosomatidae.
AAAAAGCGCCGGCUGUCGCGAACGGUACCCGCGAAAACAAGGAGCCUAUGUGAGGAAGUUGACAAGGGCUUUGAGAAGCAGCGACGUGCGCGCACCACAGCACGCACCGCCUUCAGUCGACGGAUGUGACUCGCGGUUGAGGAUCCAAACAACGUUCGCGCAUACACAUUUCUGCUUCGCUUUUCGUUGCUUUCGCUUCCGCAGCUGCCGCUUGGCUUCUCGACUGACCAAAGGACGAUUCGCCGUCCGCAACGUGCCUCCCGCUGCAGCACUAGAGCGAAAUGAGUUGCACAGGCACCCCAAGCGCUCCAGCCACAGGCAAGUAUCUGCGUCUGACAGGCACCCGCGCAAUACACUGCCCUCAGCACAUGAAUGUGCCAUCCAAAUCUCAAACGACGAGGGUAACUGCGCAGCGGCGGCGGCGGUGCAAGCGUGGACUGCUGUGUUCUCUCCUAUCGAUCGCCCUUUGAGGCGCCGUGCUGCCUCUUUUUGUUCUGUUUCCAGUCUCUGUCUUUCGUAGGAUCUUCUCGCCCACUGCGUAUUGCGUAUGUGAUGGUGCUGAAAAGCACAGGAGCUCCGUCGUUCCCUCACCCACUCUUCCCACGCCUCUACGGUGUUGGGAAGUUCGCAGCCCCGCCAAAGAUCCCCAUACGUGUCCCCCCAUCGCCCAUUCGCUAAAUCUGCAGCGGCUGUUGGGCCUUCUCUUUGGCUGCUUCUUUGUCUUCUCGUGUGCACUGGAAAACUUCUGUUCUCUCGCUCGCAGGAUCUUCUUGCUCGGCCCUUUCUAUUCCGCUCUUCUCGGUCGCUUUCUUUUGGUGGUUCCCCACCCUUUCCAUGUGUUGAGCCUCUGGUCAACUCGAUCUUUUUUUUUCUUCCGCAGGCCAGCUGGCGGACCCGUUUGUAUGCCGACCGAUCCAACACGUGUGCGUCUCUUCUACUUGACUGGGGGCAGGGAUGAGUACACAGGGAAAAAGGUCAAAGAUAGCCGUAAGAAGGGUUACCGUGACGUUGCCGAAGAUGCCGCUCUCUCGAGCUCUUCCUCGCGACUAUUUUGUGCGCGCAUGCGCUUGCUCUUGUUUGCAUCUUUGAUGUGUACUAGGAAAGGCGGAGGGGUCAGCGCCGUAUUCGCUCUCUCUGCUACCCCGCACUGGACGAAGCAUUACUACAGCUGCGGAUCAGUCGAAG